AAAGUACUCCCUCCGUCCCAAAAUUCUUGUCUUAGAUUUGUCUAGAUACGGAUGUACCAAGUCACAUUUUAGUAUUAGAUACAUCCGUAUCUAGACAAAUCUAAGACAAGAAAUUUGGGACAGAGGGAGUAGUUG
Non-coding RNA from Triticum aestivum (bread wheat), 135 nucleotides. Lineage: Eukaryota; Viridiplantae; Streptophyta; Magnoliopsida; Poales; Poaceae. The record is from Rfam.